This 314-nucleotide ribosomal RNA is filed under the name Spirometra erinaceieuropaei. RNAcentral describes it as "SSU rRNA". It matches the Rfam family "Eukaryotic small subunit ribosomal RNA", at positions 228 to 534 of the family's 1831-position model. The record is from RNAcentral. Lineage: Eukaryota; Metazoa; Platyhelminthes; Cestoda; Diphyllobothriidea; Diphyllobothriidae.
CGCUGCCUGUCGUUCUUCUGGUGACUCUGGAUAAUUGUUACAGAUCGCAGUCGGCCUUGCGUCGGCGACGGGUCCUUCAAAUGUCUGCCCUAUCAACUUUCGAUGGUAGGUGACCUGCCUACCAUGGUGAUAACGGGUAACGGGGAAUCAGGGUUCGAUUCCGGAGAGGGAGCCUGAGAAACGGCUACCACUUCCAAGGGAGGCAGCAGGCGCGCAAAUUACCCACUCCCAGUACGGGGAGGUGGUGACGAAAAAUACCGAUGCGGGACUCUUAUUGAGGCUCCGUAAUCGGAAUGAGUGAACUCUAAAUCCUU